GAAAGUGGUCAGGUUGUGUAUAGAAUCCCUUAUUUCUAUAUUGUUGAUGUUCGAUGCAUUACAUGAAUGACAUGGUCACUAUAAUCCCAUGAAGAAUUAAAAAAAUUGCUAUACCCAAUCCCUUGGUGUAUAGAUCACUAAUAUAUACUCGAAGUUUUCUAUCUCUAAUCCACCAGCGUAAACAAGAUUAGAAAAUGCAAUAGAACAUUAUUUUCUAAGCCACUACUCAAAUUUCCUAUCUCUAGUCCACCAGCGUAAGCACAAUAAUUGCCUUAGGUCCAACACAUAGAUUAAUGGAUAGUAUUCCCAUUGUGCACUGUAAUACCCCAAAAUUUACCCUUCAUUUUUCCUGGAAGCAUGCG
This 362-nucleotide long non-coding RNA is filed under the name Lathyrus oleraceus (garden pea). RNAcentral describes it as "Pisum sativum (pea) long non-coding RNA (PSAT_LNC012973)". Lineage: Eukaryota; Viridiplantae; Streptophyta; Magnoliopsida; Fabales; Fabaceae. The record is from RNAcentral.